CCACGACCUUGGUGUUGCAAAUCUGUUUCAUUAUACUUUUUAAUCAUUUACAAUACAUUAAUGAAUUUGGCAGAUGCAUAUAUCCAAAAGAAAUUUACAUUGCAUUCACUUCACUGUAUUCUUUAUGAAAUCUGUUCAUGCUUUUCCUGGGAAUCGAACCCACGACCUUGGUGUUGCAAAUCUGUUUCACUAUACUCUUUGAACAUUUACAUUCAUGCAUUUGGCAGAUGUUUGUAUCCAAAGUGACUUUCAUUUAUUUGAAUGAUUAGUUCAUGCUUUCCCUGGGAAUCGAACCCAUGAUCUUGGUGUUGCGAGCACCUGCUCUACUGUUUGAGCUUCAGGAAGGCAAUCUCAUGAUUUCAGACCCUGUUUUAACUCUGUCAUGAUGAUUAGGAGCAUGUUAUAUUUGACUGAAACGUGUGAUGCAAUCGUGUUUGAGAUAUGACGAGUGUUUGAGCUCUGCUGCGGCCGGAGUCCUUGACCCGUCGAAUGAAAGCGCAGCGCUGGAAUACCUGCGUCAUACGGGCAUGUGGCAAGAUCUGCUUGACCUGUCGAUGUGACGAUUACAGAAUCAUGAUCCACUGAUGUCUGUGCCGUUGAUCUACAGAGCUGAACACUGUCUGGAAAACUUACACAUGCUUCACAGGAUCAUUCCUGUUCAAUGAGCUUCAGUUCAGAAUGAUUUUGAUUUAGCAGCAUGUGAAGGAUGAUGAGCGUUUCAGACUGAAGAAUUGCUGCAUUGACAUCAGAACAGUAGGAAUGUCUGGAGUCAAGGAGUUGUCGGGAACAACGGCUCGUUCUCAGUCAGUCUGACCAGAGAGAUAUUCUCAUCUCCAGCAUGAGUGCAGUGAAGUGACAUGUGACGUGUGUCUUACCUCCAAUACAUCCUGCAACAAAGUCCAGAGCCAUUCCUGAGGUGAUGAUGAUGAAGAUGAAGAGCCGGUGGUCUGUCCCUCUGGUCUUCUGCUCGGUGUGUUGGUCUGCGCUCACCAGCAGCUGCUGCCAACGGGGCCGCUAUUUUUACUGAAUGAAGUUGAUAUGAAGGGGAAAGUCCAUCUGUGACCAAUAGAAACUCAAGGAUGAAGAAACACCCCCAUCAUCAUCAUCAUCAUCAUCAUACACGUCUGUGCUUACAGACACGAUUUACUGCCAGAGAGAGUAAAUCAACUCAUAAUGCUGCAGGAUCUGAUUUCCAGUGCAGUAGAACUUAAUAUGUAGUUAUUAUCGACUAAACUGUUACAUUAAAUAAAAUAAACUUUCUUUCCAUUCAAACUCAUUUAACAUAAUUAUACAAAUAAACAUUUCCUUUAAAGACA
Molecule: long non-coding RNA, 1316 nt
Organism: Ctenopharyngodon idella (grass carp)
Lineage: Eukaryota; Metazoa; Chordata; Actinopteri; Cypriniformes; Xenocyprididae
Exons: 2
Source: RefSeq, a predicted model, not a curated record